This 338-nucleotide unclassified non-coding RNA is filed under the name soil metagenome. RNAcentral's name for it is "partial contains 5.8S ribosomal RNA, internal transcribed spacer 2, and large subunit ribosomal RNA". The stretch from base 1 to 120 matches the Rfam family "5.8S ribosomal RNA", at positions 35 to 154 of the family's 154-position model. The record is from RNAcentral.
GAUGAAGAACGCAGCGAAAUGCGAUACGUAGUGUGAAUUGCAGAAUUCAGUGAAUCAUCGAAUCUUUGAACGCACAUUGCGCCCUUUGGUAUUCCAAAGGGCAUGCCUGUUCGAGCGUCAUUUGUACCCUCAAGCUUUGCUUGGUGUUGGGCGUCUUGUCUCCAGUUCGCUGGAGACUCGCCUUAAAGUAAUUGGCAGCCGGCCUACUGGUUUCGGAGCGCAGCACAAGUCGCGCUCUCUUCCAGCCAAGGUCAGCAUCCACAAAGCCUUUUUUCAACUUUUGACCUCGGAUCAGGUAGGGAUACCCGCUGAACUUAAGCAUAUCAAUAAGCGGAGGA